UGCUAAAAUAAAAUUAAUUUGAAUAGAGAUGAAGAAGUAUAAAGGGUAUUUGCAGUGUGUAGGUGUGGUGAGAGGGUACCACACCUGACUCACCCUUCUCCAACUGUCUCAUCUUAAAGCCCAGCUGAGGACUUGAGGCUCCACAGGCUGUGGCUACCUAGAAACAUCCAAUGAAACCACAAGGCAGACAGGGUGGCUCUGGAGGACAGGGGAGGACACAGAGCCGUUGGCUUCUUCAGUGUCUGGCCUGUAUCUAACUCAUGCUGGGAGGCAUUAUCAGUCAUUAGUAUGGGUUGGGUUUUCUGCGGUAAUGGUGAGCUCAGGCCUGGAUUUGCUCCAGUUCCUAGGAAACCAGUAUCUCAGCUAGCCCUGAAGAUUAUGGACCACUGAAAUGAAAGAGAAAGAGCAAGAGGGAACGCCCUCACUUCCUGGCUCCUGGUUUGGAACAGAAGUGUCCCUGGAAGCACCUGAGACUGAAGAGCCCUCCAAACAGGGUCUCUGCAUUACUUCCCUCUUUCCAGAGCUUCCACAGCUAUGGUUUUCCAGUUAAGUUCCAACAACCAAGAAAAGAUUUUUAAUAUAUGCAGUAAAGUAAACAUGGUCUACCUUAUUGAUCAUCUCAGCCAAGAACAGUAUUCAGCAGGAAAAUCAUAUUAAAGAAGAAAGGUCUCCAAGAUGUGAGGUCAACAAGGCAAUCCUUCUCCCAUGCCAGUGCUUCCAGGGGGAGCCAUGUUUCUUGAAGUGGCUUCAGUUUCUAGUGGCUGAGACCCUGACCUCUCUUGACCCUUGUCAUAUUGGAAGCCUUGGAAUAGCCUCUGAAAAUACACAAACAGAUAUGCAAAGAAA
Molecule: long non-coding RNA, 846 nt
Organism: Peromyscus eremicus (cactus mouse)
Lineage: Eukaryota; Metazoa; Chordata; Mammalia; Rodentia; Cricetidae
Exons: 2
Source: RefSeq, a predicted model, not a curated record